AUUGAACGCUGGCGGCAUGCCUUACACAUGCAAGUCGAACGGCAGCACGGGUGCUUGCACCUGGUGGCGAGUGGCGAACGGGUGAGUAAUACAUCGGAACAUGUCCUGUAGUGGGGGAUAGCCCGGCGAAAGCCGGAUUAAUACCGCAUACGAUCUACGGAUGAAAGCGGGGGACCUUCGGGCCUCGCGCUAUAGGGUUGGCCGAUGGCUGAUUAGCUAGUUGGUGGGGUAAAGGCCUACCAAGGCGACGAUCAGUAGCUGGUCUGAGAGGACGACCAGCCACACUGGGACUGAGACACGGCCUAGACUCCUACGGGAGGCAGCAGUGGGGAAUUUUGGACAAUGGGCGAAAGCCUGAUCCAGCAAUGCCGCGUGUGUGAAGAAGGCCUUCGGGUUGUAAAGCACUUUUGUCCGGAAAGAAAUCCUUGGCCCUAAUACGGUCGGGGGAUGACGGUACCGGAAGAAUAGGCACCGGCUAACUACGUG
RNAcentral lists this ribosomal RNA (486 nucleotides) under uncultured bacterium. RNAcentral describes it as "partial 16S ribosomal RNA". It matches the Rfam family "Bacterial small subunit ribosomal RNA", at positions 30 to 507 of the family's 1533-position model. The record is from RNAcentral.